GUGGGUUCCUGAUGGUUAUUAUCUACUCCUCUGACAUGGUUAAAGAUCCAGUUCUAUUUUUAGAGGGAGCUGGAGUGAAAUCAGGACAGAGUCUAAGUCUUUGUUUCCGAAGAUGUUUAUUUCUUGAGCUACGGAGCCUUAUUAACAGCAGGACGAGAUGAAUGCAAGGAGAAGGAAGAUGCAAGCUGGAGCUGGAGUUUUUAUGUCAGCUGGAGCUCUGCUAUAGACUGACACCAAGGAAG
RNAcentral lists this long non-coding RNA (242 nucleotides) under Calidris pugnax (ruff). Its description in RNAcentral is "lncRNA (ENSCPUG00000002772.1)". Lineage: Eukaryota; Metazoa; Chordata; Aves; Charadriiformes; Scolopacidae. The record is from RNAcentral.